UAUACCGCGUCAGCUUCUCGAAGCCUGUAAUGCGCUCCAAUUAGCGAUGCGUCCUUCCCUCUCCUACGACUCAGUCUAAUUGCUCUUCUCCGUGUCCCUUGACAAUGAGCACACCAUGAGUGUCAUUUGUACCUCUGUGUGGAGUAGGAAGGGCUCAAGUUCAAGGUCCCUGGUGGGGAACCGAGGCAAUUUCAAGUUCACGGACAUCCUCGGCAAUCACCAUCAACAACUCGUCAAGGAAACAAGACCUUGGCCCUGUUGGAAAAGCAUCCCAGUCAUGCAGGCACGGCUUGCAGAUUCUGCCAAAGGUUUCGCAUCCUGUGUUCUUUCGAAUGAGCCUCAACGUUCACGCCAGCAUCCAGAGGACCUGUCACAGCACCUCUGACGUUCCUUGACCAGAGGCAAGUGUUCAGGUCCCAGCUCUGCCACCACGUGAGGGCUGGGCAGGUCGUCUUUCCUCCUGGGCUUCAGUCCCCUCAUUUGUAACUGCGCACCCCUCUGACAUCCCUUGGUGCUGCCCAGGGCAGGAUAAAGGACCCUGCGGGAUGGAUGAGACCCCGCUUCUGCUGGGGUUCCGAGAAGACAGCGUCCAUCUCAGGACAUCCUGAGAUGGGUCCCGGGGAGAGUGACGCCUUGAGGUCGCGAGGGACUUGUGCGGGACUCACAGCCUCUGAUGGAACAGCAAACCUUCAACUUACCACAAGUUCCUGUUUGGGGUGGGGGACCCCUCCCUCGCCAACGGGCACUUGAAACAGCGAGUAGCCCCCAGUUUGCCUCUAUAAGUAUGUACGGAAUGAACAACUGUGCAAACCAGUGUGGUCACAAAACCACCUUGGCUCGGCAAGAAUGACGCGCUUCUCGACACGAGGGUUUGUGGCAAAUGCGGAGCCGACCCUCCGGUCGUCCCUCAGCUGCAGCCUCUCACCUCCUCGCGUCUUGCCUCCCGGGGUGGAGGGUGGAGGGAUGGUCUUUCUCCUCCUCUCUCCCCGCCUCUCCCCUCCGCUCCCAGCCAGUUCCCUCACCCGGGGAGAGGCUUUCCCGGCUGCCGCCUUUUCUGCAGUCCCUCAGCACAUCCCCGUUCUUCCAUCGAUCCCAGGCCAGUUUUAAAGGGCAACCUGUACCCACAGCCUGAAACCGCCACCGCUCGCGAAACGCGUGGACCCGUCCU
Leopardus geoffroyi (Geoffroy's cat) is the source of this 1168-nucleotide long non-coding RNA. RefSeq lists it as uncharacterized. Lineage: Eukaryota; Metazoa; Chordata; Mammalia; Carnivora; Felidae. The transcript has 3 exons. The record is from RefSeq and is a predicted model, not a curated record.